AUCUUCUCAGAUGAAUUUAAUUCAUUCUCAUCCAGACAUUGUAGGGAAUGAAAUGCAGAUUCAUACUGCCCUGAGGCUCCUCAAACAAGCCUGGAUGGCAGAACUGCCUUGAUAUGCUGUCAGAUCCAACAGAGGCUACACACACGGAUUUCUUUCAAUCACCAGCUAAAUGAGGGAUUGUCUUUAAAAUGCCCUCUGUGUCUUUAACUAUGGAUUAUAUUAUGGAACUGUCCUUUUGAAAAUGAUGAUAUAACAGCCGGACAUGGUGGCUCAGGCCUGUAAUCCCAGCACUUUGGGAGGCCAAGCCGGGCAGAUCACUUGAGGCCAAGAGUUCAAGACCAGCCUGGCCAACAUGGCGAAACCCCAUCUCUAUUAAAAAUACCAAAACUAGCCAAGCAGGGUGGUGAGCACCUGUAAUCCCAGCUACUCGAAAGGCUGAGGCGCAAGAAUUGUUUGAACACAGGAG
This 466-nucleotide long non-coding RNA is filed under the name Homo sapiens (human). RNAcentral describes it as "HSALNT0202279". Lineage: Eukaryota; Metazoa; Chordata; Mammalia; Primates; Hominidae. The record is from RNAcentral.